This 1346-nucleotide ribosomal RNA is filed under the name uncultured bacterium. RNAcentral describes it as "partial 16S ribosomal RNA". It matches the Rfam family "Bacterial small subunit ribosomal RNA", at positions 28 to 1381 of the family's 1533-position model. The record is from RNAcentral.
GACGAACGCUGGCGGCGUGCUUAACACAUGCAAGUCGAACGGAAAGGCCCUGCUUUUGUGGGGUGCUCGAGUGGCGAACGGGUGAGUAACACGUGAGUAACCUGCCCUUGACUUUGGGAUAACUUCAGGAAACUGGGGCUAAUACCGGAUAGGAGCUCCUGCUGCAUGGUGGGGGUUGGAAAGUUUCGGCGGUUGGGGAUGGACUCGCGGCUUAUCAGCUUGUUGGUGGGGUAGUGGCUUACCAAGGCUUUGACGGGUAGCCGGCCUGAGAGGGUGACCGGCCACAUUGGGACUGAGAUACGGCCCGGACUCCUACGGGAGGCAGCAGUGGGGAAUAUUGCACAAUGGGCGGAAGCCUGAUGCAGCAACGCCGCGUGCGGGAUGACGGCCUUCGGGUUGUAAACCGCUUUCGCCUGUGACGAAGCGUGAGUGACGGUAAUGGGUAAAGAAGCACCGGCUAACUACGUGCCAGCAGCCGCGGUGAUACGUAGGGUGCGAGCGUUGUCCAGAUUUAUUGGGCGUAAAGGGCUCGUAGGUGGUUGAUCGCGUCGGAAGUGUAAUCUUGGGGCUUAACCCUGAGCGUGCUUUCGAUACGGGUUGACUUGAGGAAGGUAGGGGAGAAUGGAAUUCCUGGUGGAGCGGUGGAAUGCGCAGAUAUCAGGAGGAACACCAGUGGCGAAGGCGGUUCUCUGGGCCUUUCCUGACGCUGAGGAGCGAAAGCGUGGGGAGCGAACAGGCUUAGAUACCCUGGUAGUCCACGCUGUAAACGGUGGGUACUAGGUGUGGGGUCCAUUCCACGGGUUCCGUGCCGUAGCUAACGCUUUAAGUACCCCGCCUGGGGAGUACGGCCGCAAGGCUAAAACUCAAAGGAAUUGACGGGGCCCCGCACAAGCGGCGGAGCAUGCGGAUUAAUUCGAUGCAACGCGUAGAACCUUACCUGGGUUUGACAUGGAUCGGGAGUGCUCAGAGAUGGGUGUGCCUCUUUUGGGGUCGGUUCACAGGUGGUGCAUGGCUGUCGUCAGCACGUGUCGUGAGAUGUUGGGUUAAGUCCCGCAACGAGCGCAACCCUUGUUCACUGUUGCCAGCACGUUAUGGUGGGGACUCAGUGGAGACCGCCGGGGUCAACUCGGAGGAAGGUGGGGAUGACGCCAAGUCAUCAUGCCCCUUAUGUCCAGGGCUUCACGCAUGCUACAAUGGCUGGUACAGAGAGUGGCGAGCCUGUGAGGGUGAGCGAAUCUCGGAAAGCCGGUCUCAGUUCGGAUUGGGGUCUGCAACUCGACCUCAUGAAGUCGGAGUCGCUAGUAAUCGCAGAUCAGCAACGCUGCGGUGAAAAGGUUCCCUGGGCU